AACGCACCUUGCGCCCUUUGGCCAUUCCGAAGGGCAUGCCUGUUUGAGUAUCAUGAACACCUCAACUCUUCAUGGUUUUCCAUGAUGAGCUUGGACUUUGGGGGUUUUGCUGGCCCUAUGGUCGGCUCCUCUAAAAUGAAUCGGCUUGCCAGUGUUUGGUGAGAGUCACAGGUGUGAUAACCAUCUACGCUUGUGGUUUUCCACCAGGUAACCUUCAGCGGUGGAGGUUCACUGGAGCUCACAGAUGUCUCUCCUCAGUGAAGACAGCCCUUUGAAUGUUUGAUCUCAAAUCAGGUAGGACUACCCGCUGAACUUAA
This 317-nucleotide unclassified non-coding RNA is filed under the name uncultured Thelephoraceae. RNAcentral describes it as "sequence contains ITS2". The record is from RNAcentral. Lineage: Eukaryota; Fungi; Basidiomycota; Agaricomycetes; Thelephorales; Thelephoraceae.